RNAcentral lists this long non-coding RNA (1373 nucleotides) under Salmo salar (Atlantic salmon). Its description in RNAcentral is "lncRNA (ENSSSAG00000084812.1)". Lineage: Eukaryota; Metazoa; Chordata; Actinopteri; Salmoniformes; Salmonidae. The record is from RNAcentral.
UCUCCUUCUCUCUCCCCCCCCCCCUCUCUCCAGUAGCUGUCACCAUGGUUACAGUGAAAUCUAUAGACAGAUGAACAGAUAAAAGCAUCAGGGAAAGUAUGGGCCAAUCAAAUGUGUGUGAGAGUGAGUGAUUGUGUGUGUGAGAGUGAGUGAUUGUGUGUGUGAGAGUGAGUGAUUAUGUGUGUGAGAGUGAGUGAUUGUGUGUGUGAGAGUGAGUGAUUGUGUGUGUGAGAGUGAGUGAUUAUGUGUGUGAGAGUGAGUGAUUGUGUGUGUGAGAGUGAGUGAUUGUGUGUGUGAGAGUGUGUGUUACCCUCUUUAAGGGGCAGUAGGGUGAUGGCCACACUCAGCCUCCCACUCCCCAGGCUAACCAGAUGUGGUGUGGUUGUCUGGACCUUCAGGCCUUUCCCUGUGUCUAUCAGAUCCAGGGGCGACUGGGGAGAAACACACAUUUACCAUACAGUUUAAUAGUUUAGAAUAUGACAUCUUUUAACAGUGUGACGGUGUUCUCCUUUCUUUUCAUGAACAACAGAUUAAAAACAAUGAACUUGGGCAUUAAAAGUUUUGCAACUUCUUUUGAAAAUAAACUGAAAGGCACUUUCUUCUCUCUUCCUCUCCUUUCUCCUCCUUUCCUCUCCUUUCUUCUCCUCCUCUCCAGAGGAAACACAAAUCACCAGCCGCUCCAGGGCUUUCUGUGCUUUCUAUAGUGCUGCUGGUCCAAACUAUAAUCCAAACCAUUCUAUUACCAGUAUAUUGUAGCUGUGUGAGGUUAGGUGUGUGAAGUGUGUGAGAUUAGGUGUGUUAACUGUGUGAGGUUAGGUGUGUGAGGUUAGGUGUGUUAACUGUGUGAGGUUAGGUGUGUUAACUGUGUGAGGUUAGGUGUGUGAGGUUAGGUGUCUGAGGUUAGGUGUCUGAGGUUAGGUGUGUGAGGUUAGGUGUGUGAGGUUAGGUAUGUGAGGUGUGUGAGGUUAGGUGUCUGAGGUUAGGUGUGUUAACUGUGUGAGGUUAGGUGUGUGAGGUUAGGUAUGUGAGGUUAGGUGUGUGAGGUAUCUAUUGUCACCUGUGUCUCGUCUGGACUCAUCUGGUCUGACUCUGACUGACAGAAUGUCUCUGGGUCCUAAAGGAGAGAGAGGAGAAGGAGGUUAGACUACAUAGAAGAUAGACCCAGAAACUAAACACACACACACACACACACACACACUGUGGCACUCUACGACCGUGACUGUGACCAUGAGUGCUAGUCUGAUCCAACCACCCUGCAUUGUUCAGCUGUUGAUUGGAGUGAGGUUUAUUUCACAGCUCUGUACAAAAAGGAAAGCAAAGGCCAAUAAAUGCCCAUCUAGAUUGAGUGUGGGGGUGUCUAUGAGUAUGUAAAA